Molecule: long non-coding RNA, 386 nt
Organism: Branchiostoma belcheri (Belcher's lancelet)
Lineage: Eukaryota; Metazoa; Chordata; Leptocardii; Amphioxiformes; Branchiostomatidae
Exons: 3
Source: RefSeq, a predicted model, not a curated record
CUGACGGCUGGGCAGGCUCAAGCGAUGGUCUCGUCUGUGGACGUGAUGACGACUUGGACAACUUUUCUGAUGUCCCCAUCUCAUGUGGGAACGACAUCUGUUCAGUGGACAACUGCCCUGGAAUCCACAACCCUGACCAACUUGACAUGGACGGCGAUGGGAAAGGGGACGCCUGUGAUGACGAGGACAUGACAGUGAUGAAGUCUUGAACGCCCAGGCCUAUUGAACACGGUGGACGAACACAAGCAGACAAGAGAAAGGCAUUUUCUACAUCAUUGCUCAUUAUUCAGCACUAGUAAACAGACGCAACGCUACAAAGACAACCAGAAGAGACUGCAACUGCUCGCUAGCUCGCUUAUUCUUCAAAUGCUAAUAAAAAUCUAAAA